RNAcentral lists this transfer RNA (74 nucleotides) under Sediminispirochaeta smaragdinae DSM 11293. RNAcentral's name for it is "tRNA-Ala (TGC) (tRNA-Ala-TGC-1-1)". It matches the Rfam family "tRNA". Rfam says of the family: Transfer RNA (tRNA) molecules are approximately 80 nucleotides in length. Their secondary structure includes four short double-helical elements and three loops (D, anti-codon, and T loops). The record is from Rfam by way of RNAcentral. Lineage: Bacteria; Pseudomonadati; Spirochaetota; Spirochaetia; Spirochaetales; Spirochaetaceae. RNAcentral also lists the same sequence under 1 other name.
GGGGGCAUAGCUCAGCUGGCUAGAGCAUCGGCUUUGCAAGCCGAGGGUCUGGGGUUCGAAUCCCCAUGCCUCCA